Molecule: ribosomal RNA, 278 nt
Filed under: uncultured bacterium
Lineage: Bacteria
Description: partial 16S ribosomal RNA
Rfam family: Bacterial small subunit ribosomal RNA
Source: RNAcentral
AAGUCGAGCGAUGAAGUUCUUCGGAAAUGGAUUAGCGGCGAACGGGUGAGGAACACGUGAAGAAUCUGCCUUCCACUUUGGGAUAACACCGGGAAACCGGUGCUAAUACCGAAUAUUGAAACAUAAGUGGCAUCACUGAGUUUUGAAGAAUUCGGUGGAGGAUGACUUCGCGGCCUAUCAGCUAGUUGGGUGAGGUAAAUGGCUCACCAAGGCAACGACGGGUAGCCGGCCUGAGAGGGCGACCGGCCACACUGGGACUGAGGCACGGCCCAGACUCC